AAGUGGGAUGUGAGAAGGGUUCAACAUACACACAUCAAUCAAUGUGAUAAAUCAUACAACAAAAUAAAGGAUAAAAACCACAUAAUCAUUUCAAUGAAUGCUGAGAAAGCAUUUGAUAAAAUUCAACAUUGCUUCAUAAUAAAAAGGUACAUAUUCACAAUGGAGCAUGAUUCUGUGAUAAAAAGAAUGUGAUUCAAUCACUUGCAACAACAUGGAUGGAACUGGAGAUCAUUUUGUUUAACAAAAUGAAUCAGAUACAGAAAGACAAACAUCGCAUGUUCUCACCUAUUUGUGGGAUCUGAAAAUCAAUAUCCAUACUAUCCAAAGUGAUCUACAGAUUUAAUGUAAUUCCUAACAAAAUUCCAAUAUCAUUUUUCAAAAAAAUAGCAAAAAAUCCUAAAAUUAGUAUGUAACCACAAAAGUCCCCAAAUAGCAAA
This 437-nucleotide long non-coding RNA is filed under the name Homo sapiens (human). RNAcentral's name for it is "non-protein coding lnc-NAP1L2-4:2". Lineage: Eukaryota; Metazoa; Chordata; Mammalia; Primates; Hominidae. The record is from RNAcentral.